This is a long non-coding RNA of Saccostrea cuccullata (small rock oyster), 324 nucleotides long. RefSeq lists it as uncharacterized. NCBI's taxonomy places the organism in Eukaryota, Metazoa, Mollusca, Bivalvia, Ostreida, Ostreidae. The record is from RefSeq and is a predicted model, not a curated record. The transcript is spliced from 6 exons.
AGUUGUGAUGGUAAAGAUUAACCCACAUACAUUGAUUUAGUGAACAAAAACACUCGUACAGCUGCAGAGUACAUUUUGAACAACCAUCUCCAGGAUAUACUCUGAAGACAGUGAUGUGCAAGUUCAAGGUUUGCCUGUUCAGAUACUUUAAUACCUGGUAAUAAAGAAUGGGUGAAAAAAUUCUCACAUUAUCAUGCUGCAUAAUAGUACAGUUCAGUUGUAACAAAACAAAUUAUCUGAUGAAAGCUUUAACCACGAGAAUGUAGGAAAGGAUGUCAAGUCCAAAGAGAAGGCCAUAUAACAAAUGAAUUCAUGAAGACUAGC